Molecule: unclassified non-coding RNA, 203 nt
Filed under: uncultured fungus
Lineage: Eukaryota; Fungi
Description: sequence contains ITS1
Source: RNAcentral
UUUUAGGUUCAAGUUUAACGCCUUGCGGCUUCUGAGAUCUGAGUAAUACUGAAUUUUUAAACCUCCGGCGGGCGCUAGGAGCGAGUCCAGGCUACGGCCCCGCCCUGGGGCCGCCCACCGAAGCAACUACAGGUAGGUUCACAAAGGGUUUUAGGGAGUUUUCACUCUCUGUAAUGAUCCCUCCGCUGGUUCACCAACGGAGA